This 85-nucleotide transfer RNA is filed under the name Puccinia sorghi. It matches the Rfam family "tRNA". From Rfam's summary of the family: Transfer RNA (tRNA) molecules are approximately 80 nucleotides in length. The record is from Rfam by way of RNAcentral. Lineage: Eukaryota; Fungi; Basidiomycota; Pucciniomycetes; Pucciniales; Pucciniaceae.
GCGUCUGUAGCCUAGUUGAUUAAAGGCAGCACUCUAGCAUGUGCCUCAGAUACUGAGGUUGUGAGUUUGAAUCUCACCAGACACA